UACAGAGGGUGCGAGCGUUAAUCGGAAUUACUGGGCGUAAAGCGCGCGUAGGCGGCUUUGCAAGUCGGGUGUGAAAUCCCCAGGCUUAACCUGGGAACUGCACUCGAGACUGCAUUGCUAGAGUAUGGGAGAGGGAAGUGGAAUUUCCGGUGUAGCGGUGAAAUGCGUAGAUAUCGGAAGGAACAUCAGUGGCGAAAGCGACUUCCUUGACCAAUACUGAAGCUCAUGUUCGGAAGCGUGGGGAGCAAACAGG
RNAcentral lists this ribosomal RNA (253 nucleotides) under uncultured bacterium. Its description in RNAcentral is "partial 16S ribosomal RNA". It matches the Rfam family "Bacterial small subunit ribosomal RNA", at positions 524 to 776 of the family's 1533-position model. The record is from RNAcentral.